Molecule: transfer RNA, 53 nt
Filed under: Thelazia callipaeda (thelaziosis nematode)
Lineage: Eukaryota; Metazoa; Nematoda; Chromadorea; Rhabditida; Thelaziidae
Description: tRNA-Ser
Source: RNAcentral
GAUAAGUUUUUUUUUAGUCUUCUAAACUAUUUUUUGGUUUGACCAGCUUAUUU